GAUGAACGCUGGCGGCGUGCCUAAUACAUGCAAGUCGAGCGAACGGACGAGAAGCUUGCUUCUCUGAUGUUAGCGGCGGACGGGUGAGUAACACGUGGAUAACCUACCUAUAAGACUGGGAUAACUUCGGGAAACCGGAGCUAAUACCGGAUAAUAUUUUGAACCGCAUGGUUCAAAAGUGAAAGACGGUCUUGCUGUCACUUAUAGAUGGAUCCGCGCUGCAUUAGCUAGUUGGUAAGGUAACGGCUUACCAAGGCAACGAUGCAUAGCCGACCUGAGAGGGUGAUCGGCCACACUGGAACUGAGACACGGUCCAGACUCCUACGGGAGGCAGCAGUAGGGAAUCUUCCGCAAUGGGCGAAAGCCUGACGGAGCAACGCCGCGUGAGUGAUGAAGGUCUUCGGAUCGUAAAACUCUGUUAUUAGGGAAGAACAUAUGUGUAAGUAACUGUGCACAUCUUGACGGUACCUAAUGAGAAAGCCACGGCUAACUACGUG
This 497-nucleotide ribosomal RNA is filed under the name uncultured bacterium. RNAcentral's name for it is "partial 16S ribosomal RNA". It matches the Rfam family "Bacterial small subunit ribosomal RNA", at positions 28 to 507 of the family's 1533-position model. The record is from RNAcentral.